Molecule: ribosomal RNA, 253 nt
Filed under: uncultured bacterium
Lineage: Bacteria
Description: partial 16S ribosomal RNA
Rfam family: Bacterial small subunit ribosomal RNA
Source: RNAcentral
UACGUAGGGUCCAAGCGUUGUUCGGAUUUACUGGGCGUAAAGGGCGCGUAGGCGGCUUGACAAGUCACUUGUGAAAUCCCCGGGCUUAACUCGGAACGGCCAAGUGAAACUGUCAUGCUAGAGUGCAGAAGGGGCAAUCGGAAUUCUUGGUGUAGCGGUGAAAUGCGUAGAUAUCAAGAGGAACACCUGAGGUGAAGACGGGUUGCUGGGCUGACACUGACGCUGAGGCGCGAAAGCCAGGGGAGCAAACGGG